Molecule: ribosomal RNA, 253 nt
Filed under: uncultured bacterium
Lineage: Bacteria
Description: partial 16S ribosomal RNA
Rfam family: Bacterial small subunit ribosomal RNA
Source: RNAcentral
UACAGAGGGGGCAAGCGUUAUUCGGAAUUAUUGGGCGUAAAGGGCGCGUAGGCGGCUUGGCAAGUGGAAGGUGAAAUCCCUCGGCUCAACUGAGGAACUGCCUUCCAGACUGCUUUGCUUGAGUCCGGGAGAGGUGGGUGGAAUUCCCAGUGUAGCGGUGAAAUGCGUAGAUAUUGGGAGGAACACCAGUGGCGAAGGCGGCUCACUGGACCGGAACUGACGCUGAGGCGCGAAAGCGUGGGGAGCAAACGGG